UACAGAGGGUGCGAGCGUUGUCCGGAAUCAUUGGGCGUAAAGCGCGCGUAGGUGGCUUCGUAAGUCCGUUGUGAAAGUCAAAGGCUCAACCUUUGAAAGCCGAUGGAUACUGUGAAGCUAGAGUACGGAAGAGGCGAGUGGAAUUCCUGGUGUAGCGGUGGAAUGCGCAGAUAUCAGGAGGAACACCAAUAGCGAAGGCAGCUCGCUGGGACGUUACUGACACUGAGGCGCGAAAGCGUGGGGAGCGAACAGG
This 253-nucleotide ribosomal RNA is filed under the name uncultured bacterium. Its description in RNAcentral is "partial 16S ribosomal RNA". It matches the Rfam family "Bacterial small subunit ribosomal RNA", at positions 524 to 776 of the family's 1533-position model. The record is from RNAcentral.